ACGGAUGAUGCGCGCAGGAUGCGCCACGCAACUCAAGGAUGGUUCAGGGACGGUUCAGGGAUGAUCUGCCAGGAUGGCGGAUAGUCACGGAUGUCAGAAUCAGUUCUGCAAGACCCCGCUUUGCGGGGUUUU
This 132-nucleotide small RNA is filed under the name Azotobacter beijerinckii. Lineage: Bacteria; Pseudomonadati; Pseudomonadota; Gammaproteobacteria; Pseudomonadales; Pseudomonadaceae. The record is from RNAcentral.